ACGGUGGUGUGCGGAGUGUUUACCGGCGAAGGUGAUGAAGAAAGUGUGGUGGAGAGGAAAAGCUAAACAACUUUUCUUUUUCUCUGUUUUCUUUUCGUGAGUGUGUAGUAGGGAGAGAGAUUCGUGAGUGGGUCUGUGAGGAUGUGAGAGGUAUAUGUGGAUCAUAAAUGAGUGGUGGUGUGUAGUGUUAAGAGAGAGCAAGCUGGAUAUCAUUACCGUUGGAGAUAUCCGUUGGUACCAGC
This 242-nucleotide long non-coding RNA is filed under the name Lathyrus oleraceus (garden pea). RNAcentral's name for it is "Pisum sativum (pea) long non-coding RNA (PSAT_LNC028597)". The record is from RNAcentral. Lineage: Eukaryota; Viridiplantae; Streptophyta; Magnoliopsida; Fabales; Fabaceae.